AUGUUCAUCUCCAUAUUUGGAGAAAGUGGUGUUGGAAAGAACACACUGGGAAGGGCUCUUUUCGAAAAAUUUGGAAAUAAAAAGGAGCUGGGAACUUACGGUUUUUUUGCCGCUGUGGAACCUGAUGACCUAGAAGAUGUUCUCCAUACAAUGUACAGACUAGUACCAAGUGAAACAGCUGAUUGUGGUCGGCCAGUGGAAGCCACUAAUAUGGCUGGAGAAAUAUGUCGCUUCCUGGCCAAUAGGAAGUACCUGAUUGUUCUUUCUGGCAUAUCCUCAAGAACAAUGCUCAACUGUCUAAGAAUGUGCCUGCCAGAUGAUGAGAAAGGUAGCAGUGUGGUGCUGUUAUUGGACACUGAGUGCGAAGAAGUAGCAUGGCAUGCUAAUAGCUUAAAUGAAGAUGGCGUCAAUAGAAUUCACAUGGUUACCCGUAUGGAUGAGGAAAAAACUGGACAGUUGUUCCGUUCGAGGGCUUUCAGGAAAGAAGUAUCAGACAGAAAGGAAAACAUGACCAAAUAUGACAAAAUGGAGAAGCCGCUCCAGUGGCAAGCACUCCUCCAAGAGCUUUUGCCUGGACCGGGAAUGGAAGAAGCCAAGAACGGUGAGAAGGGCGUCGAUUGGCAGAUGAGUGCUGCAGGACAAUCUAAUGUGGCCACCAGCACAUCUAUGGAGAGGAUCUUCUGGGCGAGUUAUGAAGACCUCCCCAGUGACCUCAAAUCGUGCUUCCUCUACUUGGCCAUUCUCGCAAAAAGUGGAGUGAUGGAUGUGGAAGUGAUUGUUCGGAUGUGGAUUGGCGAGGGCUUCAUCAAGCCGCACAAGGGAAAUACUAUGGAGGAGUUGGGUCACAAGUACCUCAAGGAACUGGCCCUGAGAUGCCUUGUUGGCAUAGAAUCGAGGAAUAACGAGGAUGACAUUAGGGACGUCAAGGUCCACAAGAGCCUAAUUGCUUUCCUGCAGUUGGAGGCUCGUGAAGCUGGCUUUAUUGAGAUUCACGACGUACAUGAUGCCUUUGUGGCACCGUCGGUGCGCCGCCUCUGUUUUGAUAUCUACGGAGGCAGAUACACCACAUUCAUCAGCAAGUUCACUAAGCUACGCUCCUUCAACUCUCUCCCAAUGAUGCAUCUCCUUGUCCGCUUGCUGCUGGAAGGCGAUGUGGUUCCUGCAGGAUGCGUUUUCACUGCACCGGGCCUUCACUAUCUUGAAGAGAUAACGCUGGAUGGAAUCCUGUCGUUUCCAGAUGGACCGCUGAAUAAUGUUUACAAGCUCCGACCGAAUUUCCGUAUGUUCAACAGGGAAGGUGUUGAUAAGAUGCCCCCAGAGAUCAGAGCGCAACUGGGCCUGGGACCGAGAUAA
Molecule: ribosomal RNA, 1353 nt
Filed under: Triticum aestivum (bread wheat)
Lineage: Eukaryota; Viridiplantae; Streptophyta; Magnoliopsida; Poales; Poaceae
Description: partial small subunit ribosomal RNA
Source: RNAcentral